Molecule: ribosomal RNA, 497 nt
Filed under: uncultured bacterium
Lineage: Bacteria
Description: partial 16S ribosomal RNA
Rfam family: Bacterial small subunit ribosomal RNA
Source: RNAcentral
GAUGAGCGCUGGCGGCGUGCCUAAUACAUGCAAGUCGAGCGAACAGACGAGGAGCUUGCUCCUCUGACGUUAGCGGCGGACGGGUGAGUAACACGUGGAUAACCUACCUAUAAGACUGGGAUAACUUCGGGAAACCGGAGCUAAUACCGGAUAAUAUAUUGAACCGCAUGGUUCAAUAGUGAAAGACGGUUUUGCUGUCACUUAUAGAUGGAUCCGCGCCGCAUUAGCUAGUUGGUAAGGUAACGGCUUACCAAGGCAACGAUGCGUAGCCGACCUGAGAGGGUGAUCGGCCACACUGGAACUGAGACACGGUCCAGACUCCUACGGGAGGCAGCAGUAGGGAAUCUUCCGCAAAGGGCGAAAGCCUGACGGAGCAACGCCGCGUGAGUGAUGAAGGUCUUCGGAUCGUAAAACUCUGUUAUUAGGGAAGAACAAAUGUGUAAGUAUCUAUGCACGUCUUGACGGUACCUAAUCAGAAAGCCACGGCUAACUACGUG